This 372-nucleotide ribosomal RNA is filed under the name uncultured bacterium. RNAcentral's name for it is "bacterial SSU rRNA". It matches the Rfam family "Bacterial small subunit ribosomal RNA", at positions 524 to 898 of the family's 1533-position model. The record is from RNAcentral.
UACGUAGGUGGCAAGCGUUGUCCGGAUUUAUUGGGUUUAAAGGGUGCGUAGGCGGCUUAAUAAGUCAGUGGUGAAAGCCGAUCGCUUAACGAUCGAACUGCCAUUGAUACUGCUAGGCUUGAGUAUAGUUGAGGUAGGCGGAAUUGACAGUGUAGCGGUGAAAUGCAUAGAUAUUGUCAAGAACACCAAUUGCGAAGGCAGCUUACUAAAGUAUAACUGACGCUGAGGCACGAAAGUGCGGGGAUCAAACAGGAUUAGAUACCCUGGUAGUCCGCACCGUAAACGAUGAUCACUCGCUGUGUGCGAUAAACAGUACGCGGCCAAGCGAAAGCGAUAAGUGAUCCACCUGGGGAGUACGCCCGCAAGGGUGAA